CAAAUACAAUCAAAUAUCAGUUUCUACGGAAAAAGGGAAUCCGGUGAAAUGCCGGAACGGCCCCUGCCACCGUAAUCUGGACGAAACCGUACAUAGCCACUGCUGAAAAGUGGGAAGGCGCGGGAUUAGGAUGAAAGAGAGUCGGGAAACCUGCCGGAGAAGACGAGCUUAG
Molecule: non-coding RNA, 172 nt
Filed under: Synergistes sp.
Lineage: Bacteria; Thermotogati; Synergistota; Synergistia; Synergistales; Synergistaceae
Source: RNAcentral